CAGCGAAGUUCGAAAGCGAAGCGCCGCGCCGCGCUCCGUGCAGCCGGUGGGCGUCCCGCUCGCUUUUGGCCCGGCUCUGCGGUGCCGGUUCGCGGCGGAGGCCGGGUGGCCCUGGAAAGGGGGAGCUCGGAGUAGCGCUCCGUGCAUCUCUGCACCGAGGCGUCUCUGUACCGGGCUCGUCCGGGCGGGAGCGGCCCUUCCUCGGGCGCCGGGCGGCUGUAAAGAUACCACUGUUGGAUUUCGGUGUGCACAGCUCUCAUCUGACUUCGUCCUGGGCUGUUUUCUCAGUCAUCUACACCCUGAAAUGCCAAACGAAGCCAGAUUUUGGCGAAGAAUCGAUGGAGUUAGAAGUGUGUUGGCUCAGUAAGAAUGAAGCAGCUGGUAUCAGGAGACAGAGGCCAGAGGCUUAGAGGGCAUGCUUGGUCUACAAGAGGCCGGUGGAAGACUUUUUAUCCAGCUGCCACGUGUGACUGCUGCUCAGAAAGCCACAAUGUUGUACUGAGACUUGAAUCAUCAUUUUAGAAAAAUCAGUUUGGAAAGGGAGAGACAGCGCUUGACCUUGCAAUUCAAACUCAGAAUCGCUUUGUCGUUUAUAUGUUAAUGGAGGAAGGAAGAGUGAGAAGCAGAAGGAAUGACAGGUUACUGAGAAUGAUGGAGAAAUACGAGCUGUUCCUGCUGCUGGCAUCUUGCUUGACUGAUGUGGGCCAUAGGAUACGUAAUGAACUUGAGUUCUGAUUCCUGGCUUUUGAAAGGAUGCCUGCUUCUCUUUCUGCUGGUUGGGAUGGCUCUGUCU
This is a long non-coding RNA of Tympanuchus pallidicinctus (lesser prairie-chicken), 793 nucleotides long. RefSeq lists it as uncharacterized. NCBI's taxonomy places the organism in Eukaryota, Metazoa, Chordata, Aves, Galliformes, Phasianidae. The record is from RefSeq and is a predicted model, not a curated record. The transcript is spliced from 4 exons.